AUGACGGUUGGUGUUGUGAAGCUAGCUAGCGGAGAAAGAAAUGGGAGAUUAGAAGUAGCUAGUGAGGUAGAAAACGAAAGUGGAAAGUGUGAUUCACGGUGGUGUUGUUUCAUGAAUCAGAGGCAGAGGGAUUCGUGUAUGAGGAGUAUUGAUGAAAGUUGGUGUGGAGGGAGUUUGCGUGUGGAUACAGUGGGUUGGGGUUAUGGAAAUUGGAAGAUGGAUGGGAGUUCACAGGCGGAAGAGAUGAAGGUUUUAUUGUUGAAGAGAAAAGAAGGAUAG
This is a non-coding RNA of Vicia faba (fava bean), 279 nucleotides long. The record is from the annotation of a GenBank genome assembly. Lineage: Eukaryota; Viridiplantae; Streptophyta; Magnoliopsida; Fabales; Fabaceae.